GACGAACCGUCCUAACGUUGUUCGGAAUCACUGGGCUUAAAGGGCGCGUAGGCGGGCGAGCAAGUCCGGGGUGAAAUCUUUCGGCUUAACCGGAAAAGUGCCUUGGAUACUGCUUGUCUCGAGGGAGGUAGGGGUCGGUGGAACUUCUGGUGGAGCGGUGAAAUGCGUUGAUAUCAGAAGGAACGCCGGUGGCGAAAGCGACCGACUGGACCUCUUCUGACGCUGAGGCGCGAAAGCCAGGGGAGCGAACGGG
RNAcentral lists this ribosomal RNA (253 nucleotides) under uncultured bacterium. Its description in RNAcentral is "partial 16S ribosomal RNA". It matches the Rfam family "Bacterial small subunit ribosomal RNA", at positions 524 to 776 of the family's 1533-position model. The record is from RNAcentral.